UAAGUUAUUCAGCAUAUCCUUUGACGUUUUCUGAAAGGACAUCUUUUUGGGUGUUUUAUCAACUAAAGAGGCAAGUCCAUCUGGUUGCUGAAAGCAAAAAAGGCACUAACUUUGAAGAUUACAAACAUAUAUCCAUGUACAUAAUAGGAUCAUAAUCAAAAAAAAUAGAUUUCAUUCAUAAGAAACAUCUUCAACUUUAUUUCUCCAUGUUAACGCAGAUCCUUUAGGCCCAGCUUUGUUGCAAGAAUUUUAUCCCGGAGAUGGAGAUUUAUCCCCAUCUAGAACUUUUGUCCUGGGGAUCAGCUAUUUUUCUGUUUGGUUCAUCUUUUUCCACUGUGGUUGCCUGGGGUAAGUAUGUUAGGCUUGGGUUAAUAAGAGGGGUGAGGGAGAUAGAGAGAAAAUCAUCUUUCUAAACAAACAUACAGCCCUUGCAUUCUCAACCAUCAUUUAGCACAGAAUGUGGACAAGCCUGCGCACCUAGGCAUAGCUAAUACUCAUGUGGGCUUAGAAUGGUCCAGCUUAGCCAUCUCAAACUCACAUAUGGACUAAGGCCCGUUUGCCAAAGCUUUUGGCACUUUCUGGCCCUCAAAAAGUACUAUUGGAUGAUAUGAUAAUGUUUGAUAAAAAAUCGAAAAGGCUUUGCCAGAAAGCUGAAAAAGUCUACUUGAAAAAAGCUCUAUUUUGGAGCUUCUCCCAAAAAUGCUUUCUAAACAAUGUUAGAAAUCUAUUUUGGUUUUAAUAAAAAAUUUCUGAUUACCAAAACAUCCACCAACAAAUCUCACGAUUACAUCUUAUAUCAUGUCAUAUCAUAUUAUAAUAUAUUAUUAUACUAUAAAUAUAAUAUAAUAUAAGAAUAAAUUAAUAUUAUAUUAUAUUAUAUUAUUACAUUAUAAUAGUAUAAUAUAUUAUAUUAUUGUAGUAAUACAUAAUAUAUAUUAUAUGAUUAAUAAUAUAAAAGAUAAUAUAUUAGAUUCUAUUACAUUAUAUUAUAUCCUGUUAUAUGAUUAUAUUAUAACAAUAUUAUAUUAUUAUUAAAUAUAUAAACAAUAAGAAAAGAUAUGUGCUUGAGUAAGAAAAGAUUUUAUAUAUUAUAUUAUUAAUAUUAAUUAUUCAUUAAAAUAUAUCGCAAUAAUUUAUUAUCUAUUAAAUAAUAUGAUAUUAUAUAUAUUAUAUUCUUUUUAUAUUAUUUUUAAUAUUAAAUCAUAUAUUAAUUAUAUAUAUUCAUAAUAUAUGUUAUUGAUAUUAUGUUAUUACCGUUUAUAUUGUAUAUUAUAUCAUAUUUCAUAAUAUAUUAUCAAUGAUAUUAUUUUCUUAUCAUAAUAUAUUAUGUUAUAUCUUAUAUACUAUACAAUUAAACUAUUAUAAUUAAUAUUAUUAUAAUUUCGACAGAUGUGCCAGUAUAAAGGGUAUUUUGACAUAUGUAGAAAGUAAGAGGGGUAUAGGUAGACCGAAAAUCGCAUGGAAUAUAGUAGUAAAAAAGGACUUCGUAUCUCAACAUCUUUUAAAAAAUAUAGCCCUAAACUGAGUAGAAUGGAGAAAUAGGAUUCAUGCAGCUGAUCCCGACUAGUUUAGAGUAAAGCUUAAUUGAGUUGAGUUGAGUUAAUACUUAAUAGUAUUAUAAUUAUUUUACUAUUAAAUAUAUUUUACAGUUAUUAUGUUAUAAAAUCAAUAUCAUUAGAUUAUUUAUUAUAUUACUUCUAGUUGCAUUAUUUUUUAUCGUAAUAAUCUUAUUUUUAGUACUAAUAUCAAUAAUAUUAUUACAUAAUAUGUAUGUUAUAGAUAAUAUAACUUAAAUAAUAUUGAUAACAUAUUAUUAUAGUAGAAGAUUAUAUAUUAUUAUAGUAAUAAUAUUAAUAUGAUUAUAUAUUUAUUUUUCAAUAAUAUAUUGUAUAUUAUAUGCAAUGUAUAUUUGCAUCGUUUUAUUACCAUUACAAAAAGUAUUAAUAAUAUUACUUACUAAUAUUAUGAUAUUAAUACUAAUUUUAUAAUUAUUCUGAAAAUAAAAAAUUAUGAUAAGCAAGGUUCACCAUACCGGUCAAUACCAGUACGUAUCGACCGUACCCGUACUGAACCGGUACGCAGUAUAAGGAACGUACCGACACUCGGUACAUUGAAUCGACUGUUGUAGGGGACAUACCUACACUGCAAUUGAUGGUACUGAUAAAGGGUUCGGUAACGAGACGACGAACCUUGGUUAUAAGGUUAAUUUUAAUAUCACCAUACCAAUAAUAUUAAAAUUAUGAAAUACUACAACAUAUCAUAUUAAAAUUAUAUAGUAAAUACAAUUAUAAACUAUAUAGUGUUAUAUUAUAUUAUAUUAUAUUAUAUUAUAUUAUUUAUACAUUAUAUUAUUUAGAUUAUCAUUAUCAUGAUAUUAUAUAAUAUAAAUAUAAUUGAAUCCUAUUACUAAUAUUACAAGUAUUAAUAUAAUAAUAUUAUUAAUAUUGUAAUAUUAAUGUUUUAUAUUAAUAUUAUUAAAUAUUAUUAUUAAAUAUAAAAACAUAUAUUAUUAUAUAUGUUAAUAUCGAUAUACUAAUAUUGCUAUUAGGUCAGUUUCAUUGCCUAGGGAUUUACUUGACCUAUCCAAACAUAGGAAUCAAACGAAUCAUUCCUGACAAUUCCUAAGAAUAGAUUUUAUGGGAAUGGUUUUCCCAUUCCUGCUUUGCAUUCCUAACAACUGAACAUGGCCUUAGGGGUAACUGUGGUCUUGCAAGCCAUUUUAUUCACGAACUAGGUAGGAGGUGGUUAUCUGAGGUUCCAAGCCACUUCAAACUCUCUCAUGGAUCGAAGUAUGACUGCUAAUUAUUUCAUCUCCAACAUGUGAAAAUAUAAGUGCUAAUGAGACAAUAAAUUAAUCUAUAAAUAAUGCAAAAGAAAAAAUGCAAUCAGUUUGACACUUCAUGGGAGCUAAAUUCAAUUAGAAAUCAAUAACCUACAAAGACUUAUGUACCAUCACUAAACUGCAAGUCAUAAGAACCAAAAUGAGAAAAAUAACAAACAAGAGAUGACCCCACAUUGUUAACAAUUAAAAAUCCUUCUUACUUCAUCUUCAAGUGAAAUAAUUGGAGAUAUGCAAGAAAGCAAAAAGAAAGUAUUAUGACCAUCAAACCUAAGCAAGAGAACAAGAAAAAUAAAGACCAAAGCAUUCCCAAAAUGGCAAUAAAACUAAACAAACAAAAUUAUAAGGACUUGAAACAUAUUUUUAUCAUGCAUUUUGACAUUGAAAUAGGAAUUUUGCAACUUGCUUAGCAAAGACAAUACCCUCAGAAGUUCUUGAAAAAGAAACAUUAUUUUACGAGUUUGAUAGAUAUAAAUCAGCAAGCCACAAAAUACCAGGCUACCAGCAAUAGAGAAAGAUAAACAAUUUUCUUAAGGCUAACAUAAUAAACAUAUUAAAAUAUUAUUUGAUUCUGCUAAACUGCAUGUAAUAUUAAAAUGUAAACUCUUUUCAAUAGAUUUGAAAAAGAAAGUCAAUAGCAGGGUAGAAUUUAAGUUUCUACACUUCUGUACUGUCACAGAAGCUCUUCAAGAGUAGAAAGUGGCUUAUAGUCCAAUCAAAGUCACUAUGUAUGGCUGGUAUAUAUGGCAAAGCUUGUGUACACAUUUUUUUCAACUGUUUUACUCACUUUGAAGAGUAAGUAUUAGAUGUUGUAACUCGUCAUUAACAAUACUGAAGUAAAGCACCAAAAGUUCUCAAGACAAACAGAAGUUCAGAAAUUUUAAAGGAGAAGGGGAGACACUGCUGUACAUGAUAUUUUUAUUGGGGAUUAUAAGACAUGAUCACCAUCAAAUGAUGCCAAUGAGAAUUAGACUCUACCACCAAAGCUUUCAAACAAAUUGAAGUCAACUUUCAUAACAAAUAUCUAAAUGUUCAAGUAGAAAGGACAUGAACUUUCAGGAGCCUUCUAGUAUUAUGUUAUAACUCCAAAAGAACUCAUCGAAAUCAUGAUCUAUUUUUCAUUUCCAAUGAUUUCGAUAAAAUUCAACAUUUCUUCUAUGUUUCAUGUUUUUAGAAGCAGAAUAAAAUCUCAGCAUUGACACAAUCAUUUGAUAAUGUAUGAUGUUUUUUAUAUGAAACUGAUACACCAUGAAAGAAUCCUUAGUUAAAACCUUGUCUGAAACUAAAUUUAUGCAUUGAGGCAUAAGAACGUCAUAUAAUACUUAAGAACACUGUACAUAUAAUGCUUAGCAGAAUAGACGAUAUAAUCAGAAUUUUUUCUAAUAGAUAGGAAUUAUACUUGAAAAUUCUUUUUUAUUAGCAAAUGCAAUACUUAAUUGACCAUAUGUGAGCCUGAAACAUUAUAAGAAAAAUAUGGAUGAACUAUCAUUAGCUUUAAAAUUUUCUUUCUGGAAGAAGGUUACUUUCAAAAAUCAAGGUUUAAAAAACAGUGUCUUGAUUAUUUAUGUUCUUAAAAAAAGAGGAAGAUUUGAUGGAUAGAGAAAUUGACCACCAAAAUUCUAAUUGAUUUGCAUUCUUGUGAUUAUCACAAUAUUGACAUUUAAUCCUCCUAAAAAGAUUACAUUAUGCAUGACAGGCAAAUUAGACAUGAUUAUGGCAUAAGAAAAACAUAAAAAGACAAACCACGUUGUGUAUGGCCACUAAAUUUUCUAUCAAGUUACAGUGUUAAGGUAAGAAGAGGCAAAAGGCAUAUGAAAAUAGUCUUGUUUUCCCAAUAACCAGUUUAACAUAUUCAAAAUCCAAAGUAAAAGAGCUCUAAGAACAGGAUAUAGUAAAUCUACAAAAGAACUAAUGAUCCACAUAUUUAUUGCAAGAACUUCUUACAGCAAGCUAGUAGAUGACGAUACAAUGGGAAUGGGUGUAUUGGUAUCUCACCCGAAAAGGACAAGGCGUUAGGGUUCCAAACAGAUCAUCUUUCAAGUCAGCUGCAUUCAUGGAGUAUAAAGCAUUUUUCAGUCCACGAGAAGCGAGAUACUCCUCUGUUUCUUUAUGGAGAGAGUAACCUUUGUACACACUGACAGAGGGAUCAGAUACCUAUAUGAAAAGAAAUCACCAAUACAUAUUAGGAACUUUUAAAUACCCAGAAGCAUUAUAUACACUACUGUGUGAAUUGAUUGCAACAGUUUCUGGCCAUCGUAUAUCUCUAGAGACAGGUUACAUCUACUUUGCAAGAUGAACAAAUCGCUAACUUGCCAACAAAACAAGCUUCAUUUAUAGGAACUGGGGGAAGUGCUCGUAGCUGUACUAACUACGAUUACAUGAAUACAUUAGCAAGAAAAAUGAGCAUUUAUUAGAUCUUAUUUCAUAGGUACCUGCUGAUGAUAACAAUAAAACACUUGGGCUGGAUAAGUGGAAUAGCAAAACCAUUAAUCAUCUAAUCCUUCAGCAACUUUGAAACAAAAAUGGGUUUAUUAUGGAUUCAUAUGAUGAGUGCCCCACCUUUAAGUCUCGGAUGUCUAGAGCCUUCACCAUUAUCUUAUAUUUUCAGUUGGAAACAGAUAGUUUCACCUACAUACUGAUUAUUAUGUUCUAGACAAAGCUAUAUACCUAUUGUUAACAUAAGAUAUAACUAGAUGUAGGAAUGUCUAGAACUCUUAGUUCUUCCACUUCCUUCACAUCCCCUGCUCCUCUAUUAUGUCUCCUCAAGCCCCAUCUUACUUCCACCUGCCACCAGUUUCCGCCACUUCCACCCCNNNNNNNNNNNNNNNNNNNNNNNNNNNNNNNNNNNNNNNNNNNNNNNNNNUAAGUUAUUCAGCAUAUCCUUUGAGUUUUCUGAAAGGACAUCUUUUGGGUGUUUUAUCAACUAAAGAGGCAAGUCCAUCUGGUUGCCGAAAAGGACAAGGCGUUAGGGUUCCAAACAGAUCAUCUUUCAAGUCAGCUGCAUUCAUGGAGUAUAAAGCAUUUUUCAGUCCACGAGAAGCAAGAUACUCCUCUGUUUCUUUAUGGAGAGAGUAACCUUUGUACACACUGACAGAGGGAUCAGAU
This 5944-nucleotide long non-coding RNA is filed under the name Phoenix dactylifera (date palm). RNAcentral describes it as "long non-coding RNA (PDAC_LNC001077)". Lineage: Eukaryota; Viridiplantae; Streptophyta; Magnoliopsida; Arecales; Arecaceae. The record is from RNAcentral.